UACGGAGGGUGCGAACGUUAAUCGGAAUUACUGGGCGUAAAGCGCGCGUAGGCGGUCCGCUAAGUGAGAUGUGAAAUCCCCGGGCUCAACCCGGGAACUGCGUUUCAGACUGGCGAACUAGAGUCUGGUAGAGGGGGGUGGAAUUUCCUGUGUAGCGGUGAAAUGCGUAGAUAUGGGAAGGAACACCGGUGGCGAAGGCGGCCCCCUGGAUCAAGACUGACGCUCAGGCGCGAAAGCGUGGGGAGCAAACAGG
Molecule: ribosomal RNA, 253 nt
Filed under: uncultured bacterium
Lineage: Bacteria
Description: partial 16S ribosomal RNA
Rfam family: Bacterial small subunit ribosomal RNA
Source: RNAcentral